RNAcentral lists this ribosomal RNA (773 nucleotides) under uncultured bacterium. Its description in RNAcentral is "bacterial SSU rRNA". It matches the Rfam family "Bacterial small subunit ribosomal RNA", at positions 11 to 778 of the family's 1533-position model. The record is from RNAcentral.
GUUUGAUCAUGGCUCAGAUUGAACGCUGGCGGCAUGCCUUACACAUGCAAGUCGAACGGCAGCACGGGUGCUUGCACCUGGUGGCGAGUGGCGAACGGGUGAGUAAUACAUCGGAACGUACCUUAUCGUGGGGGAUAACGCAGCGAAAGCUGUGCUAAUACCGCAUACGCCCUGAGGGGGAAAGCGGGGGAUCGAAAGACCUCGCGCGAUUAGAGCGGCCGAUGCCUGAUUAGCUUGUUGGUGGGGUAAAAGCCCACCAAGGCGACGAUCAGCAGCUGGUCUGAGAGGACGAUCAGCCACACUGGGACUGAGACACGGCCCAGACUCCUACGGGAGGCAGCAGUGGGGAAUUUUGGACAAUGGGGGAAACCCUGAUCCAGCAAUGCCGCGUGAGUGAAGAACGCCUUCGGGUUGUAAAGCUCUUUUGUCAGGGAAGAAACACCGGCUCUAACACAGUCCGGGAAUGACGGUACCUGAAGAAUAAGCACCGGCUAACUACGUGCCAGCAGCCGCGGUAAUACGUAGGGUGCGAGCGUUAAUCGGAAUUACUGGGCGUAAAGCGUGCGCAGGCGGUUAUACAAGACAGGCGUGAAAUCCCCGGGCUUAACCUGGGAAUGGCGCCUGUGACUGUAUAGCUAGAGCUGUGUCAGAGGGGGUAGAAUUCCACCGUGUAGCAGUGAAAUGCGUUAAUAUGUUGAGGAAUAACAAUGGCGAAGCAGCCCCUUGGGGUAACACUGACGCUCAUGCACGAAAGCUUGCGGAGCAAACAGGAU